This 468-nucleotide ribosomal RNA is filed under the name uncultured bacterium. Its description in RNAcentral is "partial 16S ribosomal RNA". It matches the Rfam family "Bacterial small subunit ribosomal RNA", at positions 28 to 507 of the family's 1533-position model. The record is from RNAcentral.
GACGAACGCUGGCGGCGUGCUUAACACAUGCAAGUCGAACGGAAAGGCUCUGCUUUUGUGGGGUGCUCGAGUGGCGAACGGGUGAGUAACACGUGAGUAACCUGCCCUUGACUUUGGGAUAACUUCAGGAAACUGGGGCUAAUACCGGAUAGGAGCUCCUGCUGCAUGGUGGGGGUUGGAAAGUUUCGGCGGUUGGGGAUGGACUCGCGGCUUAUCAGCUUGUUGGUGGGGUAGUGGCUUACCAAGGCUUUGACGGGUAGCCGGCCUGAGAGGGUGACCGGCCACAUUGGGACUGAGAUACGGCCCAGACUCCUACGGGAGGCAGCAGUGGGGAAUAUUGCACAAUGGGCGGAAGCCUGAUGCAGCAACGCCGCGUGCGGGAUGACGGCCUCCGGGUUGUAAACCGCUUUCGCCUGUGACGAAGCGUGAGUGACGGUAAUGGGUAAAGAAGCACCGGCUAACUACGUG